ACGACCGUACCGCAAACCGACACUGGUGCGCGAGAUGAGUAUUCUAAGGCGCUUGAGAGAACUCAGGAGAAGGAACUCGGCAAAUUGACACCGUAACUUCGGAAGAAGGUGUGCCCUAUUAGUGUGAAGUGAACAACGGAGCAUGAAUGGGUUGCAAAAAAUCGGUGGCUGCGACUGUUUAUUAAAAACACAGCACUCUGCAAACACGAAAGUGGACGUAUAGGGUGUGACGCCUGCCCGGUGCUGGAAGAUUAAAUGAUGGGGUGCAAGCUCUUGAUUGAAGUCCCAGUAAACGGCGGCCGUAACUAUAACGGUCCUAAGGUAGCGAAAUUCCUUGUCGGGUAAGUUCCGACCUGCACGAAUGGCGUAACGAUGGCCACACUGUCUCCUCCUGAGACUCAGCGAAGUUGAAAUGUUUGUGAUGAUGCAAUCUCCCCGCGGAAAGACGGAAAGACCCCAUGAACCUUUACUGUAGCUUUGUAUUGGACUUUGAACAGAUCUGUGUAGGAUAGGUGGGAGGCUUUGAAGCAGGGUCGCUAGAUCUUGUGGAGCCAACGUUGAAAUACCACCCUGGUGUGUUUGAGGUUCUAACCUAGGUCCAUUAUCUGGAUCGGGGACAGUGCAUGGUAGGCAGUUUGACUGGGGCGGUCUCCUCCCAAAGCGUAACGGAGGAGUUCGAAGGUACGCUAGUUACGGUCGGACAUCGUGACGAUAGUGCAAUGGCAUAAGCGUGCUUAACUGCGAGACUGACAAGUCGAGCAGAUGCGAAAGCAGGACAUAGUGAUCCGGUGGUUCUGUAUGGAAGGGCCAUCGCUCAACGGAUAAAAGGUACUCUGGGGAUAACAGGCUGAUACCGCCCAAGAGUUCAUAUCGACGGCGGUGUUUGGCACCUCGAUGUCGGCUCAUCUCAUCCUGGGGCUGUAGCCGGUCCCAAGGGUAUGGCUGUUCGCCAUUUAAAGAGGUACGUGAGCUGGGUUUAAAACGUCGUGAGACAGUUUGGUCCCUAUCUUCCGUGGGCGCUGCAGAUUUGAGGAAGCCUGCUCCUAGUACGAGAGGACCGGAGUGGACACACCUCUGGUGUAUCGGUUGUCACGCCAGUGGCAUUGCCGAGUAGCUAAGUGUGGAAGAGAUAACCGCUGAAAGCAUCUAAGCGGGAAACUCGUUUCAAGAUGAGAUCUGCCGGGGCCUUGAGCCCCCUGAAGAGUCGUUCAAGACCAGGACGUUGAUAGGUCAGGUGUGGAAGCGCAGUAAUGCGUUAAGCUAACUGAUACUAAUUGCUCGUGCGGCUUGACCCU
RNAcentral lists this ribosomal RNA (1295 nucleotides) under symbiont metagenome. RNAcentral describes it as "bacterial LSU rRNA". It matches the Rfam family "Bacterial large subunit ribosomal RNA", at positions 1638 to 2925 of the family's 2925-position model. The record is from RNAcentral.